Molecule: ribosomal RNA, 1240 nt
Filed under: metagenome
Description: bacterial LSU rRNA
Rfam family: Bacterial large subunit ribosomal RNA
Source: RNAcentral
UGAUGACGAGACGCUAAGGCGUUGAAGCAGUGUAUGUCAGACUUCCAAGAAAAGCUCGCAAUGUCACAAAUAAAAAGUGCCUGUACCAUAACCGACACAGGUGGGUAGGUAGAGUAUACUAAGGGGCGCGAGAUAACUCUCUCUAAGGAACUCGGCAAAAUGACUCCGUAACUUCGGGAGAAGGAGUGCCUUAUUUAUAAGGUUGCAAUAACAAGAUCCAAGCAACUGUUUAUCAAAAACACAGGUCUCCGCUAAGUCGUAAGACGAUGUAAGGGGGCUGACGCCUGCCCAGUGCCAGAAGGUUAAAGAAGUUGGUUAGUGUAUGCGAAGCUGAUGACUGAAGCCCUGGUGAACGGCGGCCGUAACAAUAACGGUCCUAAGGUAGCGAAAUUCCUUGUCGGGUAAGUUCCGACCCGCACGAAAGGCGUAAUGAUUUGGAUACUGUCUCGGAGAGAGGCUCGGUGAAAUAGACUUGUCUGUGAAGAUGCGGACUACCUGCACCAGGACAGAAAGACCCUAUGAAGCUUUACUGUAACUUGAAAUUGGAAUUGGACUUUGCUUGCGCAGUAUAGGUGGGAAGCGUUGAAAAUAUUCUUGCGGGAGUAUUGGAGCUAUCAGUGAGAUACCACUCUUGUAAUGUUAGAUUCUAACUUUGAACCAUAAUCUGGUCAAAGAACAGUUUCAGGUGGGCAGUUUGACUGGGGCGGUCGCCUCCCAAAUGGUAACGGAGGCGUACAAAGGUUUCCUCUGAACGGAUAGAAAUCGUAUCUAGAGUGUAAAGGCAUAAGGAAGCUUGACUGUGAGACCUACAAGUCGAGCAGGGACGAAAGUCGGUCUUAGUGAUCUGACGGUACUGAGUGGAAAGGCCGUCACUCAACGGAUAAAAGUUACUCUAAGGAUAACAGGCUGAUCUCCCCCAAGAGUUCACAUCGACGGGGAGGUUUGGCACCUCGAUGUCGGCUCAUCGCAUCCUGGGGCGGUAGUACGUCCCAAGGGUUGGGCUGUUCGCCCAUGAAAGCGGUACGCGAGCUGGGUUCAGAACGUCGUGAGACAGUUCGGUCCAUAUCCGGUGUAGGCGCUAGAAUAUUGAGAGGAGCCUUCUUUAGUACGAGAGGACCGAGAAGGACACACCGCUGGUGUACCAGUUAUCGAGCCAACGGUAAGCGCUGGGUAGCUAUGUGUGGAGUGGAUAACCGCUGAAAGCAUCUAAGUGGGAAGCCCACCUCGAGAUGAGUAUUCU